This 482-nucleotide ribosomal RNA is filed under the name Callipallene novaezealandiae. RNAcentral's name for it is "partial 16S ribosomal RNA". It matches the Rfam family "Bacterial large subunit ribosomal RNA", at positions 1831 to 2600 of the family's 2925-position model. Lineage: Eukaryota; Metazoa; Arthropoda; Pycnogonida; Pantopoda; Callipallenidae. The record is from RNAcentral.
GCUCUAUGUUUAUUUUUAGAGUAAGGUCUGCUCAAUGGUUUACUAAAUAGCCGCUUUUUGUGCUAAGGUAGCAUAAUAAUUUGUCUUUUAAUUGGUGACUGGUAUGAAUGGCUAGACGGAGAAUAACUGUCUUAAUUUUAAACACUUUAAAUUUAUUUUGAAGUAAAAAAGCUUCAAUAAUUUAAUGGGACGAGAAGACCCUGUAGAAUUUUAUUAAUUUUUAUCUUUUUUUAUUUCUUAUAUGAAAUAUAUUUUAAUUUGGUUGGGGUGAUUAAAUGUAAACUUAUUUUGAUAAAAUAACUUUAGGUUUAUUUUUGAUCCAAUAAUAUUGAUUAAUAGACUAAAUUACCUCAGGGAUAACAGCUUAAUAUUUUUAGAAAGUUCAAAUUGAUAAAAAUGUUUGUGACCUCGAUGUUGGAUUAAAAUUACUGUCAGGAGAAGAAAUUUGAUAAGUUAGUCUGUUCGACUAUUAAAAUUUUACA